This 531-nucleotide ribosomal RNA is filed under the name Clavispora lusitaniae. Its description in RNAcentral is "eukaryotic LSU rRNA". It matches the Rfam family "Eukaryotic large subunit ribosomal RNA", at positions 53 to 653 of the family's 3401-position model. The record is from RNAcentral. Lineage: Eukaryota; Fungi; Ascomycota; Pichiomycetes; Serinales; Metschnikowiaceae.
GAGGAAAAGAAACCAACAGGGAUUGCCCCAGUAACGGCGAGUGAAGCGGCAAAAGCUCAAAUUUGAAAUCCUGCGGGAAUUGUAAUUUGAAGGUUUCGUGGUCUGAGUCGGCCGCGCCCAAGUCCAUUGGAACAUGGCGCCUGGGAGGGUGAGAGCCCCGUAUGGCGCACGCCGACUCUUUGCACCGCGGCUCCGACGAGUCGAGUUGUUUGGGAAUGCAGCUCUAAGUGGGUGGUAAAUUCCAUCUAAAGCUAAAUAUUGGCGAGAGACCGAUAGCGAACAAGUACAGUGAUGGAAAGAUGAAAAGCACUUUGAAAAGAGAGUGAAACAGCACGUGAAAUUGUUGAAAGGGAAGGGCUUGCAAGCAGACACGGUUUUACCGGGCCAGCGUCGAAAAGGGGGGAGGAACAAGAACUCGAGAAUGUGGCGCGCACCUUCGGGCGCGCGUGUUAUAGCUCGUGUUGACGCCUCCAUCCUUUUUCGAGGCCUGCGAUUCUAGGACGCUGGCGUAAUGGUUGCAAGCCGCCCGUC